CAGCAGCCGUCGGCUUGGCUUUCCGUGCCGCACCCCCGCCCGCUGCCGAGCGAGCCGCCCCGGCGANGGGGCUUCGGUCGCGAGGUCGCGCCCGCCUCGGCGGGUCGCCGUCUCCUCUAGCACGUCCGGUGCUCCCGCGGCAACUGCAGGGGGGGGAGAAGGCGCGUGCGUCUCCCCCCCCGACCCCCGUUGGUGUCGAGGGCCCUCCUUGGGGAGGGGGCGGGUGAGAGCCCCCCGGGGCCGUUCGGCGUGCCGUGCGGAGCGGGCGCUUCAGCGUCGUCCCCGUCUCGCGGGAGUCGGGANAGAGGCGCCCGAAGGGCAAAAARAANGCCCAAACCCACACAAGAAAGCUGCGUGUAGCGGUCCCGGCUCCUCGCCCCGCCGCGGCGGCGCGCGCGGGAAGGAGCCGGCCGCCGGGGUCGGUGUCGCGCCGCGCCUCUCCGGGAGACGCCGGCGCCGCAGACGCCGGCCCCGCCCGGCGGGCCGGGCGUCCGCGCUCGUGCCUCGGGUGGCGGC
RNAcentral lists this unclassified non-coding RNA (516 nucleotides) under Caloenas nicobarica (Nicobar pigeon). Its description in RNAcentral is "partial 5' external transcribed spacer". The record is from RNAcentral. Lineage: Eukaryota; Metazoa; Chordata; Aves; Columbiformes; Columbidae.